This 253-nucleotide ribosomal RNA is filed under the name uncultured bacterium. RNAcentral's name for it is "partial 16S ribosomal RNA". It matches the Rfam family "Bacterial small subunit ribosomal RNA", at positions 525 to 776 of the family's 1533-position model. The record is from RNAcentral.
ACGGAGGAUCCAAGCGUUAUCCGGAAUCAUUGGGUUUAAAGGGUCCGUAGGCGGUUUUUUUAAGUCAGAGGUGAAAUCCUGCAGCUCAACUGUAGCAUUGCCUUUGAUACUGAGAGACUUGAGUUAUUGUGAAGUAGUUAGAAUGUGUAGUGUAGCGGUGAAAUGCAUAGAUAUUACACAGAAUACCAAUUGCGAAGGCAGAUUACUAACAAUACACUGACGCUGAGGGACGAAAGCGUGGGUAGCGAACAGG